Molecule: transfer RNA, 71 nt
Filed under: Schistosoma mansoni
Lineage: Eukaryota; Metazoa; Platyhelminthes; Trematoda; Strigeidida; Schistosomatidae
Source: RNAcentral
GCCUAAUGGUCUAGAGGUUAAGCUUUCACAAGAGAGUCUGAAGGUCCUGGGUUCGAAUCCCGAGUGAGUUA